UUAAAUGGAUAACCGUGGUAAUUCUGAGGCUAAUACAUGAACGUACCCCCUGAUCAACUGGGUAACCGGGAGGUUGGGGACAGUGCGGUCAGUCGCAGAUAUUGCUGGGAAUAGACGCACUUUCAAACCACCAUACCAAACGGUUGGGGUGCUGACCUUCGGGGAGGCGCCCUUUCUGGGUGGGCCUUGCUUUGUGCUUCUGACCUAUCAACUAG
RNAcentral lists this ribosomal RNA (215 nucleotides) under Fuligo septica var. flava. RNAcentral's name for it is "partial 18S ribosomal RNA". The record is from RNAcentral. Lineage: Eukaryota; Evosea; Eumycetozoa; Physariida; Physaraceae.